Molecule: long non-coding RNA, 417 nt
Filed under: Cavia porcellus (domestic guinea pig)
Lineage: Eukaryota; Metazoa; Chordata; Mammalia; Rodentia; Caviidae
Description: lncRNA (ENSCPOG00000039396.1)
Source: RNAcentral
GGAUAGAAGCACAGAGAUUGCAUCAUGGGAAGAAAGUCAUUGUACCUUCUAAUUGUGGGAAUCUUUGUAGCAUAUUAUACUUACACGCCUAUCCCAGAUAACUUUGAGGAGCCCUGGAGACUAAUGCUGAUCAACACACCACUGAAAACUUUUCAAAAUUUGGUUUCAUUCUUCGAGUUUCUGGGAUUUUACCAUCUUGCUGAUUUAAUUGCGCUAAGUAAAGCCUUUUUAGAAGUCCCGCCAACUUCAGAUGAAAAUGUCACUGUGACUGAGACAACAUUUGAUAAUGUUCCUGUGCGUGUAUAUGUACCAAAGAGGAAGGUGGAUGCACAAAGAAGGGCUGUGUUUUAUAUUCAUGGUGGUGGUUGGUGUUCUGGAAGCCCUGGUAGGUGAAUUCUUUGAAAGACAUCUGACCCU